RNAcentral lists this ribosomal RNA (253 nucleotides) under uncultured bacterium. Its description in RNAcentral is "partial 16S ribosomal RNA". It matches the Rfam family "Bacterial small subunit ribosomal RNA", at positions 524 to 776 of the family's 1533-position model. The record is from RNAcentral.
UACGGGGGGGGCAAGCGUUGUUCGGAAUUACUGGGCGUAAAGGGCUCGUAGGUGGCCAACUAAGUCAGACGUGAAAUCCCUCGGCUUAACCGGGGAACUGCGUCUGAUACUGGAUGGCUAGAGAUUGGGAGAGGGAUGCGGAAUUCCAGGUGUAGCGGUGAAAUGCGUAGAUAUCUGGAGGAACACCGGUGGCGAAGGCGGCAUCCUGGACCAACACUGACGCUGAGGAGCGAAGGCCAGGGGAGCAAACGGG